UCUUUUCCAUCAAUCAUAAUGCUAUGGCCAUAGACUUAAGGACUCAGCUUCUUAAAUCUCAUAGGACUACUUCCUUCUGUAAGGAUCGAUAGAUUCCAUCUUGAUGCACACCUCGCUCCUACAGUGGACCAACUGUCACCAACAUCUACUACAAGGGCUGUUUGAGAUCCUUGUUGAUGUGUCAGUCAAACUCCAGUAGCCUCAUUAUGAGUAGUAAUGUCACC
RNAcentral lists this long non-coding RNA (224 nucleotides) under Elaeis guineensis (African oil palm). RNAcentral's name for it is "long non-coding RNA (EGUI_LNC054479)". Lineage: Eukaryota; Viridiplantae; Streptophyta; Magnoliopsida; Arecales; Arecaceae. The record is from RNAcentral.